RNAcentral lists this ribosomal RNA (274 nucleotides) under uncultured bacterium. RNAcentral describes it as "partial 16S ribosomal RNA". It matches the Rfam family "Bacterial small subunit ribosomal RNA", at positions 523 to 796 of the family's 1533-position model. The record is from RNAcentral.
AUACGAAUGGAGCAAGCGUUGUUCGGAAUCACUGGGCGUAAAGCGUACGUAGGCGGAUUUUUAAGUCAGAAGUGAAAGCCCAGGGCUCAACCCUGGAACUGCUUUUGAAACUGGAAGUCUAGAGUCCCGGAGAGGUUAGGGGAAUUCCGAGUGUAGCAGUGAAAUGCGCAGAUAUUCGGAGGAACACCAGUGGCGUAGGCGCCUAACUGGACGGGAACUGACGCUGAGGUACGAAAGCGUGGGGAGCAAACGGGAUUAGAAACCCUAGUAGUCC